GUUCCGUAGGUGAACCUGCGGAAGGAUCAUUAUUGUUUAACCGAGGUGCGAGGGCAGUCGCUGACCCGAAAGGUCGUGCACGCCCGAGUGCCCUCACACACAUCCAUCUCACCCCUAUGUGCACCACCGCGUGGGUCCCCCUUUGGCUUGUUCGGAGGGGGGCUUACGUUUUCACACAAACUUUGUAUGCAGUGUAGAAUGUAUUUUUUGUUUUUGCGAUCACGCAAUCAAUACAACUUUCAACAACGGAUCUCUUGGCUCUC
Molecule: unclassified non-coding RNA, 263 nt
Filed under: plant metagenome
Description: partial contains small subunit ribosomal RNA, internal transcribed spacer 1, and 5.8S ribosomal RNA
Source: RNAcentral